RNAcentral lists this long non-coding RNA (4202 nucleotides) under Salmo salar (Atlantic salmon). RNAcentral describes it as "lncRNA (ENSSSAG00000102871.1)". The record is from RNAcentral. Lineage: Eukaryota; Metazoa; Chordata; Actinopteri; Salmoniformes; Salmonidae.
GACAGAAUAAGAUUUGGAGGGUGAGGGGCCAGAACACACAGCGAGGCAUUAGCCUUCAGGAGAGUUUAUGGGCAGAGGUGGAGAUAGCAAAGCCUGUAUCAAAUAUUAAAGAGCAUCUCUGAGUGUAAGUCACGUGAUUUCAUAGAAAAUGUGUGUUAAGUCCUGCCUCUCCCAUCUCCUCAUUGGUUUAUAGAAGCAGAUACUCACGUACCAUCUCCUCAUUGGUUCUACCCACGUGGGUGACUGAAAGACUAACGGCGUCUUAGUCGCAUGAUUGCAAAAAAAAGGUAUCUACAGUUUGCGUCCCACUCCAGGCAGACUACAAUUUGCCCUUAGACACAGAUCUAGGCUCAGUUUACGCAAUGCCAAUACCUACCUAAAAACCAUUUGGGGAGGAAACACAACUCAUCUUAGGUCAGUUUCUACUGCAAGACUCCUUGUGUCCUUGCGACCACGGGACUUCUUAUUAACUAAAAGACACUUGACUUCACCCUGUUGUUGUAGCCUUAUGUUACACCCCUAAUUUUUCUUCCUGUAAAAGCAUGCCAGUGGCCAUUGAAGGUGAGCAUUUGCCCACUGAAGUCAGUUACGACGCAGAACUGCAGUCAGGUCAAGACCCUGUUGAGGACGACGAGCACGCAGAUGAGCUUCCCUGAGACAGUUUCUGACAGUUUCAUCAGCUGUCCGGUUGGUUGGUAUCAGACAAUCCCACAGGUGAAGAAGCUGGAUGUGGAGGUCCUGGGCUGGCGUGGUUACACCUGGUCUGCGGUUAUGAGGCCAGAUGGAUGUACUGACAAAUUCUCUAAAACAACUUUAGGCUGCUUAUGGUAGAGAAAUUAACAUUCAAUUCUCUGGCAAUAGCUCUGGACAUUCCUGCAGUCAGCAAUUUAAUUGCACAAAACUUGAGACAUUGAUGGCAUUGUGUGACAAAGUAGAGUGGCCUUUUAUUGUCCCCAGCACAAUAAUCAUGCUGGAUAAUCAGCUUCUUGAUAUGCCACCCCUGUCAGGUGGAUGGAUUAUCUUGGCAAAGGAGAAAUGCUUACUAACAGGGGUGAAAACACUUUAGAGAAAUAAACUAAGAAUAAGCUUUUUGUGAGUAUGGAACAUUUCUGGGAUCUUUUACUUCAGCUCAUGAAACAUGGGAACAAUACUGCAUUCAUAUUUUUGUUCAGUUACUCACCAUCCAUGUUCAGGUUCUGUAGAGUCAGUAUGUCAAGUCCCCAGCUUUAGGUUUUAUGUUUUAUUUAUUUGCACACCUGUUAAUUGAAAUGCAUUCCAGGUGACUACCUGGAAGCUGGUUGAGAGAAUGCCAAGAGUGUGCAAAGCUGUCAUCAAGGCAAAGGGUGGUUAUUUGAAGAAUCUAUAAAAUAUAUUUUGAUUUGUUUAACACUUUUGGUUAAUAGAUGAUUCCAUUUGUGUUAUUUCAUAGUUUUGAUAUCUUCACUAUUAUUCUACUGUAAUGGCUGUUGAAGGGAGUAGACCAAGGCGCAGCGUGGUUAGUGCUCAUCAUGUAUUUAUUUUGAUCUGAACACUGAAACAAAGAAACCAAUAACGACAGCCAAACAGUUCUGUCAGGUAAGAUAUACAAAACAGAAAUUAACCACCCACAAAACCCAAAGGAAAACAGGCUACCUAAGUAUGGCUCCCAAUCAGCGACAACGAUGUACAGCUGUCCCUGAUUGACAGCCAUACCAGGCCAAAACAAAGAAAUACAAAACAUAGAAAAAAGGACAUAGAAUGCCCACCCUAGUCACACCCUGGCCUAACCAAAAUAGAGAAUAAAACCCUCUAUGGCCAGGGCGUGACAUCUACAAUGUAGAAAAUAGUCAAAAUAAAGGAAAACCCUUGAAUGAGUAGGUGUUCUAAAACUUUUGACCGGUAGUGUACAUGACAAUAAAAUUUGAUUUGAUGUCACCAUUGCAUCCAGGCGACCAGGACUGGCCCUCGUUAUCGGAUAUAUUUUGCACACACACAAUUAUUUACUGUACUUUUCAACAAAUCUUUUUCAAAUGGACAUUCAAUGUAUCUUAAAUAAUACACACAUAUACAUACAUAUACAUAAUAUAUAUAUAAAAAUAAGUGGCAACAGGGAGUAGGUAUGCCACUGGCUAUGACUGGCAGCUGUAGUGUUGCCGGUCUAGAGAAGGGCGGUUGGGUUGUGUGAGGAAAACGGCAUAUCAGCGGGAGUAGCACGGCUGCUUGGGUAUGAUGCUACAAGCUUGACACACCUGUAUUUAAGAGGUUUCUCCCAUUCUUCUCCGCAGAUCCUCUCAAGCUCUGUCAGGUUGGAUGGGGAGCGUCGCUGCACAGCUAAUUUCAGGUGACUCUAGAGAUGUUCGAUCGGGUUCAAGUCCGGACUGGCCGUGCCACUCAAGGACAUUCAAAGACUUGUCCCAUUGCCACUCCUGCAUUGUCUUGACUGUUUGCUUAGGGUCAUUGCCCUGAGCGCUCUGGAGGUUUUCAUCCAGGAUCUCACUGUACUUUGCUCUGUUCAUCUUUCCGUCGAUCCUGACUAGUCUCUCAGUCCCUGCCGCUGAAAAACAUCCCCACAGCAUGCUGCCACCACCAGGCUUCACCGUAAAGAUGGUGCCAGGUUUCCUCCAGAUGUGACACUUGGCAUUCAGGCCAAAGAGUUCAAUCUUGGUUUCAUCAGACCAGAGAAUCUUGUUUCUCAUGGUCUGAGGUGUCUUUAGGUGCCUUUUACUGAGGAGUAGUUUCCGUCUGGCCACUCUAUCAUAAAGGCCAGAAUGGUGGAGUGCUGCAGAGAUGGUUGUCCUUCUGGAAGAUUCUCCCAUCUCCAAAGAGGAACUCUGGAGCUCCGUCAGAGUGACCAUCAGGUUCUUGGUCACCUCCCUGAUCAAGACCCUUCACCCCGAUUGCUCAGUUUGGCUGGGCUGCCAGCUCUAAGAAGAGUCUUGGUGGUUCCAAACUUCUUCCAUUUAAGAAUGAUGGAGGCCACUGUGUUCUUGGGGACCUUUCAAUGCCUCAGAAAUGUUUUGGUAUGCUUCCCCAGAUCUGUGCCUCGACACAAUACUGUCUCGGAGCUCUACGGACAAUUCCUUCGACCUCAUGGCUUGGUUUUGCUCUGACAUUCACUGUCAACUGUGGGACCUCGUACACAGGUGUGUGCCUUUCCAAAUCAUGUGCAAUCAAUUGAAUAUACCACAGGUGGACUCCAAUCAAUUUGUAGAAACAUCUCAAUGAUGUGAAAUGGAAACAGGAUGCACCUGCGCUAAAUUUCAAGUCUCAUAGCAAAGGGUCUGAAUACUAAUGUAAAUAAGGUAUCUGUUUUUGUCAUUAUGGGGUAUUGCGUGUAGAUUGACGAAUAAAACAAUUCAUUUAAUCCAUUUUAGAAUAAGGCUGUAAUAUAACACAAUGUGGAAAAACUUAAAGGGUCUGAAUACUUCCCGAAUGCACUAUAUAUUACAUUUUAGAUGCUUGCUAAUGACCUUUGCGCUUGGAGUCACCCUGUGAGAGAGUUUGUUAUGUUAACAAUGUCCCAUGCUGCAGCAAAAGUACUACUGAAGGUCCCAUUUUAAAAAAAUUUCAGGGACGUGAAUCUACUAUUCCAAGCCCAAUUUUAAUUGUUGUAGCUCUUACUUCUCAUGAUAAUGUAAAUGUUACAUUCUUGGUCGUUGUUGCCAUGUGUUAGUGGGCACUUUAUUACGUUACACAACAAGACAAAGGUCCUUCUUAGCCACAAUUCACGCAUGGAAUUUGGCAGUUUAUUCAAUAAACUGAGGGAAUAAGAUUUGGAGUGGAGGGUGAUGCGCCAGAAUCCACAGGGAGGCCUCAACCUACAGGAGGGUUUAUGGGCAGAGGUGGAGAUAGCAAAGCCUGUAUCAAAUAUUAAAGAACAUAUUUGAAGAUAGUAAACAAUGUUACUGUUAUGACUAACGUUGUACCCCAUCUCUAUGACCGUCACGUGAUUUCACAGAAAAUGUGUCUUUGCAUUUCAACUCUCUGGACCCUAAACUGACAACGUUGGACUCUCACUAAAUAAAAGAUAAAAAAAGAAUGAAUCUUGUCUACAAGUCGACUCUUUAUGCGGUAGCAAUUGAGACUGGGAACGAGGUUGAGAAAGAAUGGGCUGAUUUACAACCCCUGAUCUAAUGCGUCCUUCUCUUUCAGUGUAAGUCACGAUUGCAAAGAAAAGGUAUCUGCAGUUUGCGUCCCACUCCAGGUAGACUACAAGUUGCCCU